CUCUAGUGGCGGACGGGUGAGUAACACGUAAGAAUUUGCCUUUAGGAGGGGGACAACAACUGGAAACGGUUGCUAAUACCCCAUAUGCUUUCGAGUGAAAUGGAUUUCCGCCUAAAGAGAAGCUUGCGGCUGAUUAGCUUGUUGGUAGGGUAAUGGCCUACCAAGGCGACGAUCAGUAUCUGGUUUGAGAGGACGAUCAGACACACUGGAACUGAGACACGGUCCAGACUCCUACGGGAGGCAGCAGUAGGGAAUUUUCCGCAAUGGGCGAAAGCCUGACGGAGCAAUACCGCGUGAGGGAUGACUGCCUAUGGGUUGUAAACCUCUUUUUUCAGGGAGGAAUAAAUGACGUGUACCUGAAGAAUAAGCAUCGGCUAACUCCGUGCCAGCAGCCGCGGUAAGACGGAGGAUGCAAGUGUUAUCCGGAAUCACUGGGCGUAAAGCGUCUGUAGGUGGCUCGACAAGUCAACUGUUAAAUCUUGAAGCUCAACUUCGAAAUCGCAGU
This 505-nucleotide ribosomal RNA is filed under the name uncultured cyanobacterium. RNAcentral's name for it is "bacterial SSU rRNA". It matches the Rfam family "Bacterial small subunit ribosomal RNA", at positions 90 to 627 of the family's 1533-position model. The record is from RNAcentral. Lineage: Bacteria; Bacillati; Cyanobacteriota.